Molecule: ribosomal RNA, 539 nt
Filed under: uncultured bacterium
Lineage: Bacteria
Description: bacterial SSU rRNA
Rfam family: Bacterial small subunit ribosomal RNA
Source: RNAcentral
AAUAGAUACCCGGGUAGUCCAUGCCGUAAACGAUGGAUGCUAGCUAUUUGGCGGUUUCGACCCCGUCAGAAGCGAAGCUAACGCGUUAAGCAUCCCGCCUGAGUAGUACGAGCGCAAGCUUAAAACUCAAAGGAAUUGACGGGGACCCGCACAAGCGGUGGAGCGUGUGGUUUAAUUCGAUGAUAAGCGAAGAACCUUACCAAGGUUUGACAUCCUCAGAAGGCUUCCGAAAGGAAACUGUGCCCUCGGGAACUGAGUGACAGGUGAUGCAUGGCCGUCGUCAGCUCGUGUCGUGAGAUGUUGGGUUAAGUCCCGCAACGAGCGCAACCCUUAUGUUUAGUUGGAUUUUUCUAAACAGACUGCCCUGGUAACAGGGAGGAAGGAGGGGAUGAUGUCAGGUCAGUAUUUCCCUUACACCUUGGGCUACACACGCGCUACAAUGGCCGGUACAAUGGGCAGCCAACCCGCGAGGGGAGCAAAUCCCAUCAAAGCCGGUCUCAAUUCGGAUCGCAGGCUGAAACUCGCCUGCAUGAAGCCGG